GACAUCCGGGCGGCUGGGGAGCUCGCGGGAUGCACGCUCGGCGCGCCUGUCCCCACGCUGCCCACGGACGGCCUCGCGCACGGUCGCACGGUCACACAGACCGGCGCACACACCUGUCUGCUUGCACCAUGCAGCACGUGGCGCUCCCCGUAUGCAGUCUGCACCGGCACAUCUCUGCCAAUCUAAGUGCCCAUCCGAGUGUCUGCGGGUCAGGCUCGCAGAUGACCCCUCGCUCUUCCCUGACACACCCCCUCCGGAGCACAGGCCUUGGCAGUGGCCGUGGGGAAGAUGCACAGACGACAGGUGCCCCGGGGGAAGAGUGUGCAAGGCAGAGGGCAUAGUUAGUGCAAAGGCCCUGAGGGGGGGAGCCUGCGUGACCACUGGGGUGGCUGCGGGAGAACGGCAGAGGAUGAGGUGGGUUGGCCUCGGUGGCCACGAAGACGCGUUUAGACAAGGCAGUGGCCGGUCUCCCAGGUGAGCGCUGGGCCGCUGCCUGGUGAAUUGAAUGACUUAUUGUUCUCACAGUGGUUGCAGCUGCCGCCUCGGAAGUGACUCAGCGGAAUUCCUGGGAGCUGGGAGUGGGUGGGAGGGAUGCUCCAAACGGACUGGGGAGGGGGCGCUGCGCGGGCAACGCCCCCACCCCUUUGCUGGAACUGACCGCGGGGCACACCCACCCUCGAGUUCUCCACCCCACCCCCUCCUGGCCGGAGCAGGCACCUGCAGGGGGGCAUCCAGCAUCCUCCCACGUGCUUGUUGACCAUUCGUGCAUCUUCUUCGGAGAAACCCGUAUCCCUUUGAUGUGACCUCGUGGUUCUUGUGCACAAGAAGAUGUCCCAGCCCUGGAAUCACUUAUUCCUCCCGGGAGCCCUGACCGCUUUAGUGGAGAAAGGGGUAUGUAGGCAUGAGGUGUGGCUGCUCCCAGGACCCUCCGGGGACAGAGCUAGGAAGUACGUGUGUGUUCACACCACGCGCAACGUAUUUCUGUACAGUCAUGCAUCAAUUAACGACAGGGAUGCGUUCUGAGAAAGGCAUCGUUAGGCUAUUCCGUCGUUGUGGGAACAUCACAGAGCGCAUCUGCACAAACCCAGAUGGGACAGCCCGCGACACAGCUGGGCUGCAUGGUACCGAUCUUAUGGGACCUCCGUCAUCUAUGUGGUCUGUCGUUGACUAAAACGUUGUGAUGCAGCGCAUGACUAUACAUCUCGACUAACUCCUGUAUCUAGUUCUAUAAAUUGAAGGCGAGAGGUUGACAGUGAUGGCUCACUCCAUCCUCCCCUCUUUCCAUAUGUACAACCGCCCCCUCGGCCAGUGAGCACCUGGCUGCCCUGGUCCUCACGUACCUGCUAAGUUUCUCAGUCUGCUGUCAUCCCAUCGCCCUGGGGACACCCUCCUGUCCUGCUCAGCCUCGCUGCUGCCUCCGUGGGGGCGCCCCUCACCUCUCCCGCCUAGACGCGCUCCCCGACCCCACCUGAGCUCUCUCCCGGGCUGACUCCUGGAGCCGGCCCCCCCGAUGCCCGCACACCCCCCGGGGGGGCCUCAUCACCCACUGGGCCCUCGGCCCUGACCCUGCUCACAGCCACCGUGGCUCCCCCCUCUGCGCGGGGCCCACCUUGCUCCAUGGCGGGGAUGCUGCCGGGGGUCCGUCCGAGGGCCCCAGCUGACAGCUUUAGGGCUGAAUUGUUCCAGAAGGAAAAGGAAGGAAGGGGCAAAGGGGAGAGGAAGGAAGAGGUUUUCUCUGUUCCUCGCUUUAUCUUGGAAACUCCUGCCAAGGGCACACUGUGUCAAGAGCACGCUUCCUUUCACUUUCACGGGACCCACCCCCCUGUCCAUCCAGGUAGGAUUGCUGCCCCAGGAGGGGGCCUGUGGUUUCCAGGUUUGCAGGCACCUAGGCCUCCAGUGGGGGGGCUGGAAAGGGCGGGUGGGGCCUGGGGUGCCCUCGGGGCAGGCCUCCUCCCCUCCCCCUGCCCUGCCUUCCCAGACAAUGGGCCGCCUGCCACAGAGGAGGGAGAUAAGGGGCCCUGGGGAGGGCGGCUUCCCCCAGGAUGACCUGGGCGGGAGAGGCCACCAUGUCGUCUCCAGGGCCUCCGGGCCCCAUCUCUCCGCACUCACCUGAAAGGGAGGUGCUGAGGGCCAAGCCGGGGUCACCGGGGCAACGUGACUCCCUGUGUGUCGAGACGUGUGUCUGGGCCGGGACAUCGGCCCGCGGAGCCCAGGCGGCCACGUGGUGGGGGCCCGCCAGGUGUGGCUCGGCCCAGCGGAGGUGGCCCCAGAUGGCUUAGUUUAGGGGGGACCUCAAAUUUCUCAGGAAUUUUUAUAUUGAUUGCAUGUUGAAAUGAUCAUGUUUUGGACAUGCUAAGGGAUUAAAUAAAGUGUAUUAUUAAUAUUGGUUUCCCUUGUUUAUUUUUUACUCUGUUAAUGAGGCUGCUGGGACAUUUGAAGUUACGGCCGUGGCUGGAUUAGAACAUUUCCAGCCCUGGACGCCCCCUCAAGCCCUCCCCGGCCAGCAUCUCCCCAGAGGUCACUUGGCUGCUGUCCCCCUGGACCAGCCUGACCCCUCCGGGACGUCAGAGUUCACGUCUACCGCAACCUCAGAACGUGACCUUAUUUGAAAGGACCUGAUUUGUUACGGCAGCUACAGGACGCUCAUAUAUGGAGCCUGGGGGGAGCUCCCGGAGCACCACUCACCCAGGAACAGAGGGGAAACUGAGGCACUGGCAGCAGAUGGUGUCAAAAUUCUUCCCCCGAAACAGAAACUGCCUUCUGCACACUGCACACGUCUUCUGGGCCUGCUGCCCUCGUGGCCCUCAGAAUCUGGGGCUCCCAGGCCCUGCCCCCCAUGCUGAGUCAGCCUCCUGCACUCCGUCCCGUCCCGUCCUGUCCACACCUCUCUCUUCCCCCCAUCUCAGCCCCAGGCCGCCCCUCCCAUCCCUCUUCCACCAGACGGCAACUGGAGCAUGUCCCUCUCCUGCUCGAACCUUCCAUGGCUCCCUAGUGCUCUCAGGAGAAACCCCUGAGCUCAGCCCUGCAGAAGCUGACCUCUCCAACACCCUCUCCCCUCCCCGGCACCCCGCGUUGGUCUCCAGCUGGUCCCUGAACUCCUCCUCCUCUGCUGGCUCCAGCGGACGCAUUGCCUUUUCAGAACUUCCCCCACAAGCCCGUGAGGUGGGCAGUAUUGUACCCAUUUUACAGAUGAUGACAUUGAGGCUUGAGAGAGAAAGGAAGUUAGAGGAUGGACAAGGGCCUCAACCCGGGCGGCCGUGUGCUGCCCCACCGCCCCACCGCCCCCCUCGAGGACUGUUUCCUUGUCCACGUGCAAAAACAGCCCUCGGCAAAGAGCUGCUGGAAUCAAGGAGCCUGGAGUCUGUGAACUCGGAGGAGACAACAGUCACGUCCUGAUCGCCACUAACUGGAUCUAGCAUUUCCCUCCUUUGUGAAUGUGAGCAACGAACCCCAGGAGGGCCGGUGGCUUUGUCACAAAUGCAUCACUGGUGGCUUCAGACCCUACUACCUUUAUUGCAGAAAUUUCAGAAUAUCGUUCAGACUCACAUCACGGUAGUUCUUAAAUCCACCACUGGGUAUUUUUAUUUAAUGUAUUAAUAAGAAGCACAUAUAUUAACACAUCACAAUUAAACAAAGUGGACAACUUCA
Molecule: non-coding RNA, 3648 nt
Organism: Equus caballus (horse)
Lineage: Eukaryota; Metazoa; Chordata; Mammalia; Perissodactyla; Equidae
Source: RefSeq, a predicted model, not a curated record